RNAcentral lists this transfer RNA (72 nucleotides) under Loxodonta africana (African savanna elephant). It matches the Rfam family "tRNA". From Rfam's summary of the family: Transfer RNA (tRNA) molecules are approximately 80 nucleotides in length. The record is from Rfam by way of RNAcentral. Lineage: Eukaryota; Metazoa; Chordata; Mammalia; Proboscidea; Elephantidae.
GCCAUGGUGGUGCAAUGGUUAAGCACUCAGCUCCUAACCAAAAGGUUGGUGGUUUGAACCCACUCAGUGGCU